This 471-nucleotide ribosomal RNA is filed under the name uncultured bacterium. Its description in RNAcentral is "bacterial SSU rRNA". It matches the Rfam family "Bacterial small subunit ribosomal RNA", at positions 331 to 793 of the family's 1533-position model. The record is from RNAcentral.
CCAGACUCCUACGGGAGGCAGCAGUGGGGAAUCUUCCGCAAUGGGCGCAAGCCUGACGGAGCAAUGCCGCGUGAACGAAGAAGGUCUUCGGAUUGUAAAGUUCUGUCCUUAUCGAAGAGAGGGUAUAGAGUGAAAAAUGAUAUACUAGGACGGUAGAUGAGGGGGAAGCCCCGGCUAACUACGUGCCAGCAGCCGCGGUAAUACGUAGGGGGCGAGCGUUAUCCGGAUUUACUGGGUGUAAAGGGAGCGUAGACGGUUACGCAAGUCUGGAGUGAAAUGCCGGGGCUUAACCCCGGAACUGCUUUGGAAACUGUGCAGCUAGAGUGCAGGAGAGGUAAGUGGAAUUCCUAGUGUAGCGGUGAAAUGCGUAGAUAUUAGGAGGAACACCAGUGGCGAAGGCGGCUUACUGGACUGUAACUGACGUUGAGGCUCGAAAGCGUGGGGAGCAAACAGGAUUAGAUACCCCCGUAA